UGGUGGGGUGAUUUGUCUGGUUAAUUCCGAUAACGGACGAGACUCUGUCCUGCUAACUAGGUUGUGUUUUCUCGGGUUGGUGUUUCUGGUGUUCCUUCUCGGGGCGCCGGCCCAAUCCACUUGUGAACACAACACUCUUCUUAGAGGGACUGGCGGCUGUUAGCCGCACGAGAUAGAGCAAUAACA
This 186-nucleotide ribosomal RNA is filed under the name uncultured eukaryote. RNAcentral describes it as "partial 18S ribosomal RNA". It matches the Rfam family "Eukaryotic small subunit ribosomal RNA", at positions 1299 to 1458 of the family's 1831-position model. The record is from RNAcentral.